Molecule: ribosomal RNA, 477 nt
Filed under: uncultured bacterium
Lineage: Bacteria
Description: bacterial SSU rRNA
Rfam family: Bacterial small subunit ribosomal RNA
Source: RNAcentral
AUUGAACGCUGGCGGCAUGGCUAAAACAUGCAAGUCGAACGCGAAAGGGGGCAACCCCAAGUAGAGUGGCGAAAGGGCGAGUAAUGCGUUUCUAAUGUACCUCAGACUCGGGGAUAGCUCACCGAAAGGUGAAUUAAUACUCGAUGAUACUGCUGGACCGUAUGGUCUGGUUUUCAAAGGCUUGCUGGUCUGAGAUCAGGGAACGUCCUAUCAGGUAGUUGGUAAGGUAACGGCUUACCAAGCCUAAGACGGGUAGCGGGUGUGAGAGCACGGCCCGCCGCAUCGGGACUGAGACACUGCCCGGACUCCUACGGGAGGCUGCAGUAACGAAUAUUCCACAAUGCGCGAAAGCGUGAUGGAGCGAUGCCGCGUGCAGGAUGAAGCCCUUCGGGUGUAAACUGCUGUCAGGGAUUACCAACACAAUGAGGAAUCCCAGAGGAAGAGGACGGCGUAACUCUGUGCCAGCAGCCGCGGUAA